Molecule: RNA transcript, 3633 nt
Organism: Vigna unguiculata (cowpea)
Lineage: Eukaryota; Viridiplantae; Streptophyta; Magnoliopsida; Fabales; Fabaceae
Source: RefSeq, a predicted model, not a curated record
UGGUGUGUGCAUCCCAAACUUAUAUUGGUAUUCCUCUAGGUGGUUUUCACGCGCUGCCAGAUACCAAGGCUGCUAAUCCCACUCUUUCGUUCUAGUCAAUUUCAUUUAUAUUGGUAUUUCUCUGGGUGGUUUCCACGCGCUGACAGUUACCAAAACUGAUAAUCCUAGUCUUUCAUUCUAGUCCAUUUCAUUUGCUUCAAAUUUGAGAAACUCUCCAGAGGAGAAAGAGUGAGUGAAGGAAUGAGGGAAGAGGUCAUCAGUUCUGGAGGCACCAUUGAUCCAGCACCUGCUGCCAGUUCUGCUGGGGCGUCAUCCCCAGCCGUUCCAAUGAAUGUUGGCAGUAUAGAUGGGUCAAGUCAUGGACAAGUCUCUAAAGCAGCUUCUCUCUCGUGUGUUGGUUCACAACCACCAUGGACUUCCUUGAGCACAAGUGCUGGUGGGUCUUCCAGAUCUUGUAGACCUUGGGAAAGGGGAGAUUUAUUAAGACGCUUGGCUACAUUUAUUCCUAUAAAUUGGCUUGGGAAGCCUAAGAUCAUCAGUUCGUUGGCUUGUGCACAAAAAGGCUGGAUAAACAAUGGUGUUGACAAAAUUGCUUGUGAAUCAUGUGGUGCUUGCCUGUGUUUUACAGCAUUGUCAUCUUGGACAUCAGCUGAAGCUCAAAAUGCCAGCGAAUCCUUUGCUAGGCAGCUGGAUUCGGGCCAUAAGGUAAAUUGCCCUUGGAAGGGAAACAAUUGUCCGGAAAGCUUAGUACAAUUCCCUCCAACACCUCCAUCUGCUUUAAUUGCGGGUUACAAGGAUAGAUGUGAUGGACUCGUACAAUUUCAGCGUCUUCCUGUCAUAGCCAUCUCUGCUAUUGAGUUGAUGUCUGCUUCUCGUGGUCCACAGAUUGAACGCUUUCUAUCGCAGUCUCAGAAUUUUAUGUCAAGAGAAGUAUGUAUUAAACCAGAAAUUAUAUCUGAGUUUGACAACUCUCAAGAUGAGGCAUACUGUCUGUAUACUCGUGCACAGAAACUUAUAAGCCUUUGUGGGUGGGAACCAAGGUGGCUUUUAAAUGUUCAAGAUUGUGAAGAACACUCUGCUCAAUCUGAAAGAAAUGGAUAUUCUUUCGGCCCUAGCAAGACUCAAAUUCAUCUUACCCAAGAUCCUGGGUCAAAGGCAGUUUCUGCUUCUACUAAAUUGGAUGCUAGAAAGGGAAAGGCAUCUGUCAAUGAGACUACACUUGACUCAAAGACACCAUUGCUUGAUUGUAGCUUAUGUGGUGCUGCAGUUAGAAUUUCAGAUUUUUUAUCAGUUCCUUGUCCUACUCGUUUUGUACCUAACAGUAUAGAUAUUCUUGAUGCUAGUAAAAAAUUAGGAUUGACUCGAGGAGCGAGUGCAGCAAGUGGAAUCAGUGGUUGGAUUGCAGCUGAUGAUACAGAAAAAGAUCAGAUUGAUGACCGUGAUGAAGUAGCAACAACAAAUGAGGGGAAAUUGGUUGCAAAUGAUGAUUUGGAUUUGAAUCUUACCAUGGCAGGGGGUUUUCCUUUUACUCCUUUGGGCAGGACGGCAACAUCUGAAUAUACUCAUGAUGAAGAUAUGGGAAGGGACUUAAUGAUCGGCCAGCCUUCUGGGAGUGAGAUUGGUGAUCGUGCAGCUUCAUAUGAAUCAAGAGGACCAAGCUCUCGUAAGAGAAAUUUUGAAAAAGGUGGAAGCUCAGAUGAACGCCCAAUUCUUAGGUUGCAGCAGCAGGCUGAUAGUGUAGAAGGAACUGUCAUUGAUCGUGAUGGAGAUGAAGUUACAGAUGGUGGACAAUAUUCAGCUGGUCCAUCAAAACGAGCACGUGAUUCUGAUAUUUUUGACCCUUACUGUUCACCUCGUCAAAGAGACUCAUCUGGUGCAGGUCCGAGUCAUUCAAGGGGUUUUGAGACUCAUGUUAGUGGAAAUCGAGUUUCUUCAAACCCUCAAGGUAGUGAUCGUCCUAUAGGAAUCCAAUCUACUAGGGACUCAACCCGUGCAUCGUCUGUCAUUGCAAUGGACACAAUAGGUCAUAGUGUGAAUGAUGAUUCUAUGGAAAGUGUUGAAAACUACCCUGGAGACCUUGAUGAUGUUCAUUUCCCCUCCUCUAGCACAUAUGGCAAUGUGGAUAUGAAUGAAACCUCCGAACUGAAUAACAGCAAUCUAGCUCAGCAAAGCACUUGCUUACAAACUGCUACUGAAGUUGUCCCUGGUGAAGUGGGUGUCAGUAGUACAAACUAUGGGGAAGAACAUUUUAAUGCAGAAACUGUGACUGCCCAGGCUCGAGAUGGAAUUAGUUUGGGCAUCAGUGGAGGGAGUGUUGGAAUGUGUGCUAGUCAUGAAGCUGAAAUCCACGGGGCUGAUAUAUCUGUGCACAGAGCUGAUAGUGUUGUUGGUGAAAUGGAACAGAGAGCAGAAGAUGCUGAACAUCAGGGACAAACAGGUGAAUAUGUUCCAGAUCCAGGUCUGAUGGAUGAGAUUAUCCCUGAUGAGAUGAACAGGGAAGAUCCUAUUGGUGAUAGCCAGGAGAUGAUGUCUCACUCUGCAGGAAGAACAGAUAGUGGUUCAAAAAUUGGCUGUUCUACAAAGGCAGAAUCUGUUGAAAGUGGUGAAAAGAUUAGUCAAAACUGCAAUCUUCUGCCUGCUAAUAGUGAUCACCCAUCUCGUUCUUGUAAUGCUAAUAUUUAUUCAGGUUGUGAAAAUACCAAGGAAGAGAUCAUGAAGGAUGGUAAAUCUUCAUUUGCCAACAAUAGUUCUCUCCCUGAAUCCGAUUUUGCCAUUGCAAAUGGGAUAGGCCCUCCAAAAGGAGAGAGUAAUUAUGAAGCUGCAGAGUUUGAUCCUAUUGCCUAUCACAAUCAAUGUUGCCCUUGGGUAAAUGGCAAUGUUGCUGCAGCUGGCUGUGCUAGUUCUGUUAUGAGAACAAGUAGUGAUGCAAUCGCCCUUUCCGGUUGGCAGCUGACUUUAGAUGCUUUGGAUGCUUUGCAAUCACUAGAGCACAAUGUAAUACCAACUGCACCGUCUGAGUCUGCUGCGUCCUUGUACAAGCAGAAUGACCAGCAAGCACCUGGUAAAAAACUCUUUCGCAAUCACUCUCUGAGCAGAAGCCAUGGUCAACUUUGAGAUUUUAAUUUGAGUAUUGGGUGUUUCCAUUUCUUUGUAAGUGGGAUUGUAGAAGCGUAUUCGACCAAUCUAUUCUCGAGGUAUUCUUGCAUAUUUCAGCGAGUUUGUAGGGGACGUGUUACUACUUUUCUCCCUCCUAUGCCAUAACGGAAACAGAGAUCAGAUUGUCAAAGAUGCAGUAGAAGCUGUAGAAGAUCCACUUGCAAGCGUCUACAAUACUAUACCAGUGAAGAAGCCCACAACAAACACCAACAAUUUUGGCAUAUUGCUUCUUGCACUCCCUUAAUUACUAACCGCACCCCACAGUAAGAGAAAAAGAUUUAAACACUGUCGCUGUAGCCAUCAUCACUGCUGCUGUAGAGGGAGAAGUGAGAGAAUGCUGCGGGUAAAGAAGAAAAGAAGAAAUGCUGAAAAAUUUAUUUCGGAAAGCUUUUUUUGGAAUGUAUUCCAUGUAUUUCGAGAAAUUUCUUUCGAGAAUAUAUUUAAUAUAUUUAAUGUGGGAAGAUGUUAUAUGCAUUU